UCUACAGGUCGAGCAAGUCUCGUAAAUUUCACGAUUGCGAGCCACGCUUCACGCAACCGUGUUUGCGUACUUGUGUUUCGAGUUGCGUGGUCGUGCGGAGUUAUAUUUACCAAAUUUAAAUCCGUUCCAACAUGCUGUCAAAAUUAAAUCAAUAUGUCAAUAUGGCUACUGGGUGUAAAAGAUAAAUCUUAUUAUAUCUGUUCUUAAUGAGUUUUAGAUAAUUUUAGUUGUAUUUCUUUGUAAUUUUGUGUUGUACAAAGAUUAAUUUAACAUUUUCUCUGGAAGUAUUAAUUUAGAAAGAUAAUAUGCUUCAUUGGUGUUGUGUUUUGAAGUGUGAAAUGCAAAGUAAUUGUGAUAGAAGUCAAGAUAAAGUUCACUUUUAAACUGAACUAAAUAAGGUAUCUGAGAGACAACAAUGGUUAAAUGCAAUACAAUGUACAGGUUUUACUAGCGAAAUGAAAAUUUUCCUGUCCUGUCUGCUGUAAUCAUUUUAUAUCUGGAAAACCAGCCGACUUAAUCGAUAAUAACAAUCUCCAGAUUGGGUUCCUUCAAUAAAUAUGGGCUAUAAACACAAUGAAAUAAGUUCCCCAAAAUCUAAAAUGGAGUGGUAUCAAAGGAGAAUUAAAGGAAAAAAUAUUCAUUUUUAAAUUAUUUAUAAGGCACUGGACUGUCUUAAAUUCUACAAUAAUACUAGAAUCAGCUGAGAGAAGUGGUCUACAAAAAACCAGGAAGGAAACGGAAUAUGUGGCUACGAAAGGCAAAAGAAAGGUUUACAAAGCAAAUGUGACACAUUUUUUUGAAAUAUUUAGGAAUAUCAGUAAAUUGCAUUAAAAAAAUGUAUGAAAAGAUUUUGUUCAAUAAAAAUGUUUAUAUUUA
Molecule: long non-coding RNA, 876 nt
Organism: Diabrotica virgifera virgifera (western corn rootworm)
Lineage: Eukaryota; Metazoa; Arthropoda; Insecta; Coleoptera; Chrysomelidae
Exons: 3
Source: RefSeq, a predicted model, not a curated record